GAGUUUGAUCCUGGCUCAGAUUGAACGCUGGCGGCAGGCCUAACACAUGCAAGUCGAACGGUAACAGAAAGCAGCUUGCUGCUUUGCUGACGAGUGGCGGACGGGUGAGUAAUGUCUGGGAAACUGCCUGAUGGAGGGGGAUAACUACUGGAAACGGUAGCUAAUACCGCAUAACGUCGCAAGACCAAAGAGGGGGACCUUCGGGCCUCUUGCCAUCGGAUGUGCCCAGAUGGGAUUAGCUUGUUGGUGGGGUAACGGCUCACCAAGGCGACGAUCUCUAGCUGGUCUGAGAGGAUGACCAGCCACACUGGAACUGAGACACGGUCCAGACUCCUACGGGAGGCAGCAGUGGGGAAUAUUGCACAAUGGGCGCAAGCCUGAUGCAGCCAUGCCGCGUGUAUGAAGAAGGCCUUCGGGUUGUAAAGUACUUUCAGCGGGGAGGAAGGGAGUAAAGUUAAUACCUUUGCUCAUUGACGUUACCCGCAG
Molecule: ribosomal RNA, 486 nt
Filed under: uncultured bacterium
Lineage: Bacteria
Description: bacterial SSU rRNA
Rfam family: Bacterial small subunit ribosomal RNA
Source: RNAcentral